Molecule: unclassified non-coding RNA, 200 nt
Filed under: uncultured fungus
Lineage: Eukaryota; Fungi
Description: sequence contains ITS1
Source: RNAcentral
UUGAUUCAUUUUGUUUGGGACUCAGAGCGUACCAUAUGGAGAGAAGAGUUUUGCGGGCCAGCGGCAGGCGCCUGGCUAAGCAGGCCUGAGGGGGCCCCGCCCUGGGGCCGCCUGCCGAAGCAACUGGACAGGUAAGUUUACAGUGGGUUUGGGAGUCUUUCAACUCUGUAAUGAUCCCUCCGCUGGUUCACCAACGGAGA